RNAcentral lists this ribosomal RNA (253 nucleotides) under uncultured bacterium. RNAcentral's name for it is "partial 16S ribosomal RNA". It matches the Rfam family "Bacterial small subunit ribosomal RNA", at positions 524 to 776 of the family's 1533-position model. The record is from RNAcentral.
UACGUAGGGUGCGAGCGUUAAUCGGAAUUAUUGGGCGUAAAGCGUGCGCAGGCGGUUUUGUAAGCCAGAUGUGAAAGCCCCGGGCUCAACCUGGGAAUGGCAUUUGGGACUGCAAGGCUGGAGUAUGGCAGAGGAGACUAGAAUUCCUGGUGUAGCAGUGAAAUGCGUAGAUAUCAGGAGGAAUACCGAUGGCGAAGGCAGGUCUCUGGGCCAAUACUGACGCUCAUGCACGAAAGCGUGGGGAGCAAACAGG